RNAcentral lists this ribosomal RNA (296 nucleotides) under uncultured bacterium. RNAcentral's name for it is "partial 16S ribosomal RNA". It matches the Rfam family "Bacterial small subunit ribosomal RNA", at positions 475 to 776 of the family's 1533-position model. The record is from RNAcentral.
CUAUGCGCCUUGCCAGCCCGCUCAGGUGUGCCAGCCGCGCGGUAAUACGUAGUGGCAAGCGUUAUCCGGAUUUACUGGGUGUAAAGGGCGUGUAGCCGGGCUGACAAGUCAGAUGUGAAAUCCGGGGGCUCAACCCCCGAACUGCAUUUGAAACUGUUGGUCUUGAGUAUCGGAGAGGCAGGCGGAAUUCCUAGUGUAGCGGUGAAAUGCGUAGAUAUUAGGAGGAACACCAGUGGCGAAGGCGGCCUGCUGGACGACAACUGACGGUGAGGCGCGAAAGCGUGGGAGCAAACAGG